Coffea arabica (coffee) is the source of this 344-nucleotide non-coding RNA. The record is from RefSeq and is a predicted model, not a curated record. Lineage: Eukaryota; Viridiplantae; Streptophyta; Magnoliopsida; Gentianales; Rubiaceae.
CAUUUUUCAAGAAAUUCGGGUGUCCCACUCGGACAUACAAUGCUAAAACGCCGCUACAUUGCUGCUGCUGGUUGGAAGCUUGUGUCCGUGCCGCACCAAGAAUGGGAAGAACUUCAGGGCGAAUUCGAGCAGCUGGAUUACCUAAGAAGAAUCCUCGAUUAUCACAUUUGUAAAGAGAGAGAGCAUCACUCGGUCUGGUGAAUUGGGUUAAAGUGUGUUAAAAGGUUUCCCUGGUCGAGGACAAAUGAGUGUCACUCUUCACUUGAGUUAGCUGUUGCUGUUUCCGAGUACAGGUACAUAUGAAGAUACAAGCUCAAAGACUCUUGUCCACGGGCUCCUGCUUU